CAGCAACAUUGCCUGGCCUUAGAGCUGCUGUGAUCAAUCUGGAGAACAGAUGCAGAACUGCAUCUUGAGAUCAAGGCCUUGUGUACGCUGCAGCCAUCAUUAGAAGCUGCCAGAUCUGGAGCCUGCUGCCUGGCAUCUUGUUUGUUCAUUUGCAUUUGUGCCGUGUGGAUGGGAAUUGCUGUCACUCCGACUGACUUGGCACCCAAAAGCCUCCCACUGAGAAGGUGAUAAUUGAUGAGACUGAAGACUUCCUCGACGUGUGAGAGGCCUGUGCCCACCCAACUGCAGGGACAUGAGCUGCUCAAUAAAGGAGGAAGAACAGAUUUGUGGCUAUGGCACUGGAUUGGGAUUCAGAAGAAAAGUUCAGUUUCAGGCUCUCCUAAAGACUUCAUAUGUAACUUCAGUCAAGUCACAUGAACUCCGUGAGCUUUGUUCCCAUUUUCAGUUUGUAUGCCAUUUCCCUAUCUUGCUCUUAUAUAUGCAGAGGAUAAAUUCUUCGGUAUAAGAGCGCUCUCUUACUAUGUGUGUAUAUAUACAGUGUCUACAGGAUUCCUAACUCAGUUUAGACCUCUUGGACAAGUUUCCACUCUGUGUAAACUUGGCAGAGGCACAUCAAAGAUACUUAUCUUGCAGAUAGCUAAACUGUUACUUAAUUUGAGAGCUAAUGAAGAAUAGCCAGGAUAACAAGAAAGGAAGAAUCAAGCCAUAUCAGCUAGUAUUUCAACCUGCAGAAUUCCACUGGAUGAAAUUUCAGCCUUUCUGGUGAUAUCAGCACCUUUUGAAAGUCUGUCUUCGUUGUCUUGAAUGGCUGCCAAUCAGGUAAAUGGGAGUGUAAUCUGAAAGUGAACUUCUUGGUUCAUUGUGUACAAGGUAAAUUAAACAUUUUUCAUUCCCUCAUGCUGAAAAGGGACUGUAAUUAAAUAUUUUAGCAUAAGCAUUUCUUCCAACAUCAAGAAAAUGAAAUAGUCCCAGACUAAUAUCUGCCACUUAGUGAUAUGCAUAGAAAGCCAAAGUCAUCAUCAGUGUAAGUGAAUACAACUCCAGUGAAGCAGGAAAGCUGCCCCUUCUUAUACCAAUAAUGAAUUUGGUUGAAUUGGUCCAAUAUGGACAUUUGGGGAAGCAAUCAGAUUGAGUAAACUUGUGAUACAUUUCAGAAAUGUAAUACUUUGUUAUAGGAUGUCAGUAGUUUUCUUUCUUUUAAAUGAGGGAUGUGGGCAAAUAUUACAAGUCCUUGAACUCUCCUGCAUACUUGUGUAAGGUCUCAUCAUAAUCUGGCCCUUAACAUUUUUCUUUCUUGGUAUAUAUUGGUUGAAAAGAGGAGUAAGGAAAACUUUAACAAAAAACCCAUAUAUAAAAAAGUCAGCUCUGACCACAUGAAGGGAAAGCUUGGCAUACUUCACAGCGGAAGAAAAGAGACUAGAUCAGGGCAAAGAAUUGCUAGCUGUGUUUGUUACCUAGCAACCUCAAGUCCAAAUGGAUACUUGGAUAGUAUGUAAACCAGGCAAACCUGUUUCAGGGAAAAAGAAGUUUUGCUUGGGUUUUAUAUUGUAAAAUACUUGAUGGCAAGAAAGCUAUUCUUCCUUUGUGAAGGGAUUCAUUGUUGAGCUGAUCAUAAUAGGCCUACUGAUGGAAGUCUUUCUAGUAAAAUAAAAUAAGCUAAAUAACACAAUAGUGUGUUUUCAGUUUCAUAUGUAGGCCUUGUAUCUUGUCCUUGCUGAUUAGAGACACUUAAUAUACUAAAAUGCAUUGAUAUAUUUGGUUCAGGCACAGUUUUUGAUACCAUCAAAGGGGCAGUGAUAGGCAGAAUCAGAUAUACCGAAUUAUUGCUGUAAGUAGCAGUACUGGUAGAACAGAGAUGUUAUCUAGUUAGAAAUGAGACUAAUGAGCAGGGUUGCCAACUGACUGUAAAUGUACAGACAGUCCAUGAAAAAAGGCUAAAAACAUCUAUCUGUAAAGUCUGGAAAAAAAAAAAAAGGCGGCCCUAUCCAUAAACACCCCCUGCAGCACCCCCUUCCCCAAAACCCAGUAACGAUGAGAUCGAUUGAUGCUCUGUCAUCUGAAUGAGUCUGGAUGUUGCAGGACAUUAACAGAAAAUUGUCAGCCAUCUUUGCGUGUUAUUUGUUGCAAUAAAGCCCUUAUGAGAGCAAGAAGUCUCUCUGCCUUUUCCUGAGCUAUGAGAUAGCACCUGGUGUCAGAAGUGGCUAAAUCCUGCCACCAAAUGCCAGUCAGCGAUUAGGUGAUUCCAAAUGACAAAUUUGGAUACCAAAUUUGGAUACCAAAUGACAAACCAAGCUCCAGCAACA
This is a long non-coding RNA of Alligator mississippiensis (American alligator), 2303 nucleotides long. RefSeq lists it as uncharacterized. Lineage: Eukaryota; Metazoa; Chordata; Crocodylia; Alligatoridae. The record is from RefSeq and is a predicted model, not a curated record. The transcript is spliced from 4 exons.